AGUGAACGCUGGCGGUAGGCCUAACACAUGCAAGUCGAACGGCAGCACAGUAAGAGCUUGCUCUUACGGGUGGCGAGUGGCGGACGGGUGAGGAAUACAUCGGAAUCUACUUUUUCGUGGGGGAUAACGUAGGGAAACUUACGCUAAUACCGCAUACGACCUACGGGUGAAAGCAGGGGAUCUUCGGACCUUGCGCGAUUGAAUGAGCCGAUGUCGGAUUAGCUAGUUGGCGGGGUAAAGGCCCACCAAGGCGACGAUCCGUAGCUGGUCUGAGAGGAUGAUCAGCCACACUGGAACUGAGACACGGUCCAGACCCCUACGGGAGGCAGCAGUGGGGAAUAUUGGACAAUGGGCGCAAGCCUGAUCCAGCCAUACCGCGUGGGUGAAGAAGGCCUUCGGGUUGUAAGGCCCUUUUGUUGGGAAAGAAAAGCAGCAGGUUAAUACCCCGCUGUUCUGACGGUACCCAAAGAAUAAGCACCGGCUAACUUCGUG
Molecule: ribosomal RNA, 492 nt
Filed under: uncultured bacterium
Lineage: Bacteria
Description: partial 16S ribosomal RNA
Rfam family: Bacterial small subunit ribosomal RNA
Source: RNAcentral